This 525-nucleotide ribosomal RNA is filed under the name Legionella jamestowniensis. RNAcentral's name for it is "bacterial SSU rRNA". It matches the Rfam family "Bacterial small subunit ribosomal RNA", at positions 45 to 558 of the family's 1533-position model. Lineage: Bacteria; Pseudomonadati; Pseudomonadota; Gammaproteobacteria; Legionellales; Legionellaceae. The record is from RNAcentral.
UGCUUAACACAUGCAAGUCGAACGGCAGCAUUUUCUAGCUUGCUAGGAAGAUGGCGAGUGGCGAACGGGUGAGUAACGCGUAGGAAUAUGCCUUAAAGAGGGGGAUAACCUGGGGAAACUCAGGCUAAUACCGCAUAAUUUCUUAGGAGAAAAGCUGGGGACCUUUGGGCCUGGCGCUUUAAGAUUAGCCUGCGUCCGAUUAGCUAGUUGGUGGGGUAAGGGCCUACCAAGGCGACGAUCGGUAGCUGGUCUGAGAGGAUGAUCAGCCACACUGGGACUGAGACACGGCCCAGACUCCUACGGGAGGCAGCAGUGGGGAAUAUUGGACAAUGGGGGGAACCCUGAUCCAGCAAUGCCGCGUGUGUGAAGAAGGCCUGAGGGUUGUAAAGCACUUUCAGUGGGGAGGAGAUUGAGUUAGGUUAAGAGCUAGACUUGAGGACGUUACCCACAGAAGAAGCACCGGCUAACUCCGUGCCAGCAGCCGCGGUAAUACGGAGGGUGCGAGCGUUAAUCGGAAUUACUGGG